UGAGAUUGUCGGUGUUGCCAGAAAGCGCUU
Molecule: non-coding RNA, 30 nt
Filed under: Rattus norvegicus (Norway rat)
Lineage: Eukaryota; Metazoa; Chordata; Mammalia; Rodentia; Muridae
Source: RNAcentral